RNAcentral lists this small nuclear RNA (164 nucleotides) under Castor canadensis (American beaver). RNAcentral describes it as "U1 spliceosomal RNA (ENSCCNG00000002744.1)". It matches the Rfam family "U1 spliceosomal RNA". Rfam says of the family: U1 is a small nuclear RNA (snRNA) component of the spliceosome (involved in pre-mRNA splicing). Its 5' end forms complementary base pairs with the 5' splice junction, thus defining the 5' donor site of an intron. There are significant differences in sequence and secondary structure between metazoan and yeast U1 snRNAs, the latter being much longer (568 nucleotides as compared to 164 nucleotides in human). Lineage: Eukaryota; Metazoa; Chordata; Mammalia; Rodentia; Castoridae. The record is from Rfam by way of RNAcentral.
AUACUUACCUGGCAGGGGAGAUACCAAGAUCACAAAGGUGGUUUCCCCAGGCUGAGGCUCAUCUAUUGCACUCCAGAUGUGUUGACCCCUGUGAUUUCCUCAAAUGUGGGAAACUGGACUGCAAAAUUUGUGGUAGUGGGGGACUGUGUUCAUGCUUUCCCCUG